This 516-nucleotide ribosomal RNA is filed under the name Chryseobacterium sp. IP22B. RNAcentral's name for it is "bacterial SSU rRNA". It matches the Rfam family "Bacterial small subunit ribosomal RNA", at positions 1 to 521 of the family's 1533-position model. The record is from RNAcentral. Lineage: Bacteria; Pseudomonadati; Bacteroidota; Flavobacteriia; Flavobacteriales; Weeksellaceae.
UGGAGAGUUUGAUCCUGGCUCAGGAUGAACGCUAGCGGGAGGCCUAACACAUGCAAGCCGAGCGGUAUUUAUUCUUCGGAAUAGAGAGAGCGGCGUACGGGUGCGUAACACGUGUGCAACCUACCUUUAUCAGGGGAAUAGCCUUUCGAAAGGAAGAUUAAUACUCCAUAAUAUAUGAACAGGCAUCUGAUUGUAUUGAAAACUCCGGUGGAUAGAGAUGGGCACGCGCAAGAUUAGAUAGUUGGUGAGGUAACGGCUCACCAAGUCUGUGAUCUUUAGGGGUCCUGAGAGGGAGAUCCCCCACACUGGUACUGAGACACGGACCAGACUCCUACGGGAGGCAGCAGUGAGGAAUAUUGGACAAUGGGUGAAAGCCUGAUCCAGCCAUCCCGCGUGAAGGAUGACGGUCCUAUGGAUUGUAAACUUCUUUUGUAUAGGGAUAAACCAUUCUACGUGUAGAAUGCUGAAGGUACUAUACGAAUAAGCACCGGCUAACUCCGUGCCAGCAGCCGCGGU